This 213-nucleotide unclassified non-coding RNA is filed under the name Hevea brasiliensis (rubber tree). The record is from RNAcentral. Lineage: Eukaryota; Viridiplantae; Streptophyta; Magnoliopsida; Malpighiales; Euphorbiaceae.
CCGAAGCGGAAUGUGACGCCGCGCGGCGGCAAGCAGAAGCGGUCCGAGCACGAUCAGGAAAGCCAUUGCCAGCGACAUGACGGCAGCGACCAUGGUGUAGCCGAUCGAUUCCAGCCGCAGCCAGUACCAGCGGCGUUGUUCGACCACGCUANCGCGGUUGAGGCCGACACGCAGGCUUUCGACACCGUUCGACGCGAAAUAGAUCGCGAGCAC